GACGAACGCUGGCGGCGUGCUUAACACAUGCAAGUCGAACGCUGAAGCUUGGUGCUUGCACUGGGUGGAUGAGUGGCGAACGGGUGAGUAAUACGUGAGUAACCUGCCCUUGACUCUGGGAUAAGCCUGGGAAACUGGGUCUAAUACUGGAUACGACAUGUCACCGCAUGGUGGUGUGUGGAAAGGGUUUUACUGGUUUUGGAUGGGCUCACGGCCUAUCAGCUUGUUGGUGGGGUAAUGGCUCACCAAGGCGACGACGGGUAGCCGGCCUGAGAGGGUGACCGGCCACACUGGGACUGAGACACGGCCCAGACUCCUACGGGAGGCAGCAGUGGGGAAUAUUGCACAAUGGGCGGAAGCCUGAUGCAGCGACGCCGCGUGAGGGAUGACGGCCUUCGGGUUGUAAACCUCUUUCGGCACGGAAGAAGCGAAAGUGACGGUACGUGCAGAAGAAGCGCCGGCUAACUACGU
RNAcentral lists this ribosomal RNA (471 nucleotides) under uncultured bacterium. Its description in RNAcentral is "partial 16S ribosomal RNA". It matches the Rfam family "Bacterial small subunit ribosomal RNA", at positions 28 to 506 of the family's 1533-position model. The record is from RNAcentral.